GCCUGAGAUUAAUUGCAGCUAAAAAUGAUAAUUCAUAUUGUUAAUAGUACACUGCCUGCGGUCAGGUUUGUCUCUGUCAAAAAACAAUCUCAGAGCCGUCCUUGUAGAGUGGAGACAAGAACACUCCCACCUGAACACUACAAGAUCAAUCAUCAGUUUUUACGACGCCUGACACAACCAACUUAACUGUGUGUAGUAAAUACAACUGCUGCCUUACUAUGAGACCAAACGGCUUGUCAUAACAAAGCAAUAAUCUUAGAUAUCACUAAAUAUCAUAUUUCCAUUGUUAUUAUUAAACAUAAUAAUGGCCUGCUUUGAUAUAGUGAUAACAAUGAUUAAUGAUUAUUUGGCGUUUUACUUUUGACCUCUCACUGCUUGUACGCAUGUACAGGUUACAUGUGUGUAGCCAUGCAUAUACGUGUUCUUAUAAUAACUAAUAAUUGCUUGACAUGUGUUCCUUCAUGUUUAACAGGUGCAAUUUAAUAAGAGGACAAAAUGAAAAAAGAGAGAGUAAUCCAGCCUGCAUUGUACCAAGACUAAAAGGGAGACCGCAAUAGGCCGGAGUUAAAGGUCACAUCAAAUGUAAAGAGAGUGAGUGUGUGUGUUUGUUUGUUUAAAUGAACUAAUUAUGACUAGUCAAUUGUACUUAUCUUUACUUUGACUAGUGUUUACACACUUUGUUAUUAAUGUACUACUAUAAUCUCGUGUCUCUUUUUAUCGUGUACAUGUGUGUGUCUCAGUUUUGCGUAAUUUUAUUUAAACUGAGAUAAGCUAACAGUUUGUGUAGGAGAUCUGAAGUUUACACGACACGUCAAACUCAGACAGUUGAAGAAAGGAAAAAAUAAUGGAGGAAAGAGAAAUAUUACUACUAAUCCCUGAAUGGAACAAACAUUGAAAUUUCCUGCUGUAGUUAUGUCAGCAAAUCCUCCCAAACAUUAGCAACUAAAAUUCACUUCCUAAAUUAAAAAGUAUUCUGUUUAUGUUGAUUUGUCAUAUAAUGUAAUUUGUCAUUGUAAGUCCCUGACCAUAACCUUACCUUCCUCUCAUUAAGAUAAUGAGAUUCUCCUAUUCCUUUUAUAGAUUAUCCAGCUGUAUCUCUGUAUGUCACAUGCAAGUUUCACUUUAUUAGCUUGCUUUAAUCAAGAAGCUUUGGAUGUAUGGUUCAAAUUGCUGCGCAGCCACUACUCAUCAGCCCGUAACAAUGCAUGAAAGAAAUAGUUGUAAGGAGAGGAGGAAAGAUAUCCUAUUUCGACUCAUGAAUAAUUCAUUUUAUUCAAUCAGAGCGUUGUGUACAAGUGUAUCACAUUGCAUUGCAUCUGUGAGAAUGCUAUUAGUGAAUGAUAAACGGGAUGGCUCCUUUAAGAGACGUAUUGAGACGUGAAUGAAUGCCUGUUUUGUCUUUGGUCCUGGAGCGUGGGCGGAAAGAAGCUCGUUGUACCUGUACAAAGGGCGUAGUGUCUAGACAUUUACUCAUUCUGAGCCAUGUAACGAUAUUAGGAGCGUGUUGCCCUGGAAGUGCUCUGCAAUAAAAGAGCUAGUGGAGAUCAAUUAAAAUAAAAUAUGUACAAGUACAUGUAGUAUAUAUCUGGAGUGAGUGUGCGUGACAUUUAGUGUGGACGUAGGAGUAAUGCAGAGGAGGUAAACAUAUGAAUAAUUAGAACUGGAAUCACUAUUUUACAUGUAGAAUUGUGAGACAAUAUGUCUCCAUGGACUAGCUUUCUCUUGUUUUUCACCCUUCUUCCUCUCUCUCUCUCUUUC
Molecule: long non-coding RNA, 1758 nt
Organism: Amphimedon queenslandica
Lineage: Eukaryota; Metazoa; Porifera; Demospongiae; Haplosclerida; Niphatidae
Exons: 5
Source: RefSeq, a predicted model, not a curated record